RNAcentral lists this unclassified non-coding RNA (657 nucleotides) under Hevea brasiliensis (rubber tree). Lineage: Eukaryota; Viridiplantae; Streptophyta; Magnoliopsida; Malpighiales; Euphorbiaceae. The record is from RNAcentral.
GGAUUGGUUAAAGAGCGUAAAGAAGGAGAGUUUACGGUGCUGGAGGAUUGUGAAGAAUGUACGGAAUAGGUGAAGGAACCGAGAGAGGUAGAAAGCGUAGGACCAAAAGAAGACGCGGCCGGUGGAGCGCGUCCCAAGUGGAAAACAAAGGAGCCACUGGAACGCAGUUGUAGUCCUGGUGCGAGGCCAGAACCAUCGCGUGUCGCGGAUCUCGGCGGCGGUUGAGAAAAGUAAACCGAUGAAAAUGAAGGCCGAGAUAAGCGCCAUGGUGAGGCUGUGGAUGGCUGGGAUGGGGCCUAGUGGAAUCCCGCGAUUACGUCUGAGUAGGACGGAGAGGAGGAGGUGGAGUGUGAUGGAGGAGGCGAUGUAGAUGGCUAUAGCGGAGAAGAUGAAGAACCAGGUAGAACCCCAUGUCUGAGUAAUGCUCCACCGGAAGUUUACUAUUGAUGGGUGGUCCGUUAAGCAAUGUUUGAAGCUCUGUAACAUGGACAGUGCCAUGUUCAUAACUGGGGUUUAAACAAUCUAUAGCAGAAUUGCGACUCUGNCUGUUAGUAGCUCCUAGCAAAUUCUUAUUCCUUGCAGAUUCAGGAAAAAGUAAGAGCUUACAGCCAGCCAAGAAAAGAAAAAGAAAAUUUUUCCGGCGAUGAGAAUGAAAGG